This is a long non-coding RNA of Homo sapiens (human), 162 nucleotides long. Ensembl annotates it as PCDH9 antisense RNA 2. Its record names the gene PCDH9-AS2. NCBI's taxonomy places the organism in Eukaryota, Metazoa, Chordata, Mammalia, Primates, Hominidae. The record is from Ensembl.
UACAGGACAAGAAAGAAGAUGUUUUUAUGGAAGGAAGAAUAGCUGCAAAGCACUCAACUCAAUGCAUAGCUGCAGUGAAUAGAACAAACAAGAGGCUGGCUGCAUUGUGCUAUUGAAGUACAAAAGAAUAAAUCAAAUGAAGUGUCCUCAGCAGGAAAAGCU